GGAAUUUUCCGCAAUGGGCGAAAGCCUGACGGAGUGACGCCGCGUGGGGGACGAAGGCCUUCGGGUCGUAAACCCCUGUCAGAGGGAAAGAAGGGUCGCCGACCUAACACGUCGGUGAUUUGACGGUACCUGCCGAAGAAGCCACGGCCAACUACGUGCCAGCAGCCGCGGUGAUACGUAGGGGGCGAGCGUUGUCCGGAUUUAUUGGGCGUAAAGAGCUCGUAGGCGGUUCGAUAAGUCAGGUGUAAAAACUCCAGGCUCAACUUGGAGAGGCCACCUGAUACUGUCGUGACUAGAGUCCGGUAGAGGAGCACGGAAUUCCUGGUGUAGCGGUGAAAUGCGCAGAUAUCAGGAGGAACACCAGCGGCGAAGGCGGUGCUCUGGGCCGGAACUGACGCUGAGGAGCGAAAGCGUGGGGAGCGAAC
Molecule: ribosomal RNA, 425 nt
Filed under: uncultured bacterium
Lineage: Bacteria
Description: bacterial SSU rRNA
Rfam family: Bacterial small subunit ribosomal RNA
Source: RNAcentral